AACGAACGCUGGCGGCAUGCCUAACACAUGCAAGUCGAACGAGACCUUCGGGUCUAUUGGCGCACGUGUGCGUAACGCGUGGGAACCUGCCCUUAGGUUCGGAAUAACUCCCCGAAAGGGGUGCUAAUACCGGAUAAUGUCUUCGGAGCAAAGAUUUAUCGCUUUUGGGUGGGCCCUCGUUGGAUUAGCUGGUUGGUAGGGUAAAAGCCUACCAAGGCCACGUUCCAUAGCUGGUCUGAGAGGAUGAUCCGCCACACUGGGAGUGAGACACGGCCCAGACUCCUACGGGAGGGAGCAGUGGGGAAUAUUGGACAAUGGGCGAAGGCAUGAUCCAGCAAGGCCGGGGGAGUGAUGAAGGCCUUAGGGUUGUCAAGCUGUUUUACACGGGGUGAUAAUGACAGUACCGGGAGAAGAAGCACCGGCUAACUCCGUG
This 433-nucleotide ribosomal RNA is filed under the name uncultured bacterium. Its description in RNAcentral is "partial 16S ribosomal RNA". It matches the Rfam family "Bacterial small subunit ribosomal RNA", at positions 29 to 507 of the family's 1533-position model. The record is from RNAcentral.